This 31-nucleotide non-coding RNA is filed under the name unclassified sequences. RNAcentral's name for it is "L31-Firmicutes ribosomal protein leader". It matches the Rfam family "L31-Firmicutes ribosomal protein leader". The record is from RNAcentral.
CUAUGACUGAAAAAAGUCAUGGCGGAAGGAG